RNAcentral lists this unclassified non-coding RNA (420 nucleotides) under Hevea brasiliensis (rubber tree). Lineage: Eukaryota; Viridiplantae; Streptophyta; Magnoliopsida; Malpighiales; Euphorbiaceae. The record is from RNAcentral.
ACUGCCGGAGACAUUGUUGAAGUUCGUGAGGGCAAGUUAUAUGUGAAUGGAGCUGUUCAAGAUGAGGAUUUCAUUCUAGAGCCACUUGCUUAUGAGAUGGAACCAGUGCUUGUACCAGAAGGUUAUGUCUUUGUGAUGGGAGACAAUCGCAAUAACAGUUUUGAUUCCCACAACUGGGGUCCGCUUCCUGUCGAAAACAUUGUUGGUAGGUCAGUGUUUCGCUAUUGGCCUCCCUCCAAAGUAUCCAACACCAUAUAUGAUCCUAAUGCUGAAAAGAACACUGCUGCAAUAUCUUGACGCAAUUGCCCUCUGCUUGCAGAGGGAGGAUGCCGGAUAAUUUAUUCAUUCUGAUGGUGAUUUGAUAAAGGAUUUUGCAAUAUGUAUCUCUUUACUGAAAUCAUCUUUUCAAAAUCUUGCAAA